Molecule: long non-coding RNA, 2210 nt
Organism: Drosophila kikkawai
Lineage: Eukaryota; Metazoa; Arthropoda; Insecta; Diptera; Drosophilidae
Source: RefSeq, a predicted model, not a curated record
ACAAGCGCGACAAGAUAACAAAAAGGCCUCUUUGUAAAGCGCAGUGGAGCAAGUGGAGCCGGGGCUUGAGAUACAGAUACAGAUACGGAUACCAAAUACAUAUAUAAAUAUCUAUAUGGCUGGGCCCGCGACUGGAGCUAUUAAAAAUGCGGUGUCGCCGCCUGUCGCCUAUUACCCAUUGCCCGGUUACCUGUGCGAGUAAGUUGCUCAAGUGGUCGCCGGUGCGCCAGGUGCGUGGGCGUUGUGUCUGCCGCUCUGGCGGCGCUCUUGCUGUUCGGACUUAAAUGGGUUACUUGUAAUUAAAAUUGCCGCUGCAACAACCGCCGCUAAUCUUGGCUAAAACUGCGCCAAUUACAGAUUGUAGUUAAGGAGUCUCGACUGUACUUCUUUACUGAGCUCUACCUACACUGACUGCCGCAUUCCUUGCACUCAAACUCAAACUCAAUCCGCAUUCGAAUAGUUGUGUGUCAGUCUGGAGCCGCUCAAGAGUGCUGUCUCUGCUCCUGACAAAAAAUAAAGCGAAGCAAAGCAACCAAGUUGCCUCGUCACUCGUCAUGAAACACGGACAAGAGCGUUGUCGGAGUCCCAUUCCCAUUCCACUCCCGGACUCCAUGCCCAUUCCACUCCCGUAUUCCAUGCCCAUUCCACUCCCGAUUCCAUUCCCAUUCCCAUUUACAGACCCCGUCAACAGGCGGCUGGCCGUAAUCCGAUCUUGCAGUCGUGUCAAGUGUGCUGCAGUCCAGAUACAAGGAGCAUAGCAUGCACUCGCUCACCACCACAACUGAGCAGCGGCAGCAGACCCACACAGAUACUAUUACGAUACCGGGGCAAUUGCCCAUCUGAACCCCAGAAAUCAUAAAACAAUUGUACAACUAGUUUAGAUACUACUAUGCCGCAAUUAAAAUGCGGUCUGCGAUUAGAGAUGGUUUAUGUGGCGGCAACAUCGAGGGUCAUUCGGUGGCUUACUUGCGGUACUUGCAGGUCUUCGGUUCGUCUUUAAAGACGGCUCUACACCUAUUUUUUUUUUAUUUUAGGGCGAAGCCUUAUCGAAACCGCACUGGCAAGGAUGAUGGUUAACCUUAGGUGGUUUGUUUGGAGAUUAGAGCCAGAGGUAGUUGGGCUUAUCUGGUACAAAAUAUAGUGUUUGAUUCUAGAUUGUAUUAAUCUUUGAGUGUACAUUUUGAAAUCUUGAAACGAUAUGUAAUACAAAUAAAUCUUGAUAUGUCUAAAUUAUGGUCCAAAUUUUAGAAAUAUUUAGUUUAUCAUUAAAUCAAGCUCUGUGAAAAGUUUAAUAUAUAAAGUCUGCCUAAAAUAUUAAACUCAUUUAUUACCUUUCCAAGAAUUGAUAUCUUAUGUGAAUAUUUUUACAGUUCAAACUGAUUGAUUUAUUUAUUACUUUUUAUCAACCAUAUAUCACCUAGAUAUGACAAUCUUUAGUGUUCUAAAAAACACAAAUCUUCAUAAAACUUUCACAAAGCGAAACUUGUACUAUUUUUAAGAAACUCAAAAAAAGAAAUCCCAGCGGCAGCGGCAAUCUAAAACCCGUCUAGGCCCUUUGAUUAGUUGGCUUUAUCGCGUAAGCCUACACAUUAUAAAAAUAAAUUACAUUUUAUGUGGUUAAUAAAGCCCACUUGCCUAUCUGCCCACCUACUUUCGGUCUCUAUUUGGAGCAGUUGCCCUUUGCUGGCAACGGUUUUUAUAUCGAGACCUUAUCGUCAUACUAUAACUCACAAAACCUGGUAAAUAUGAGUGUGAAAAGUGGUAAAGAAGAGGGUAUAAGAGUAUAGGAAAAGAUACUGAAAAUGUCUGACAAAUGAUUGACGACAACGGCAUGAUAAACGACUUUCCUACGCCAAUGCAGGCAGCAAUGGGUUAAGGCAUAUCUUUUUAUAUGUAUAAGUGAGUUUAUCAAUGUGACGACACUAUAUUCUAUAGACAUCUGCGUCCAUGUGAGUAUCUUAUCGCGGGGCUUCCACUGGAGAGGUGUCGCAUCUACUAUGCGAGGCAGAAACAAAUAGACUUCAAGCCUCGGGUUCUUAUAGCGUAAAUGAAAAACAAACUACAAGAUACAGAUACGAAUGUGAGUACGAGUAGAAGUAUGAGUACGAGUAUACUCGUAUAUUAAAUUGCUCAACAAAUAAGUGGAGUACACAUGGUCUUUCUCUCUUUUUUUCUGUGCCCUGCUAAAUAUUUUUUGGUUACCUUAGCGU